AUUGAACGCUGGCGGCAUGCCUUACACAUGCAAGUCGAACGGCAGCACGGGUGCUUGCACCUGUUGGCGAGUGGCGAACGGGUGAGUAAUACAUCGGAACAUGUCCUGUAGUGGGGGAUAGCCCGGCGAAAGCCGGAUUAAUACCGCAUACGAUCUACGGAUGAAAGCGGGGGCCCUUCGGGCCUCGCGCUAUAGGGUUGGCCGAUGGCUGAUUAGCUAGUUGGUGGGGUAAAGGCCUACCAAGGCGACGAUCAGUAGCUGGUCUGAGAGGACGACCAGCCACACUGGAACUGAGACACGGCCCAGACUCCUACGGGAGGCAGCAGUGGGGAAUUUUGGACAAUGGGCGAAAGCCUGAUCCAGCAAUGCCGCGUGUGUGAAGAAGGCCUUCGGGUUGUAAAGCACUUUUGUCCGGAAAGAAAUCCUUGGCCCUAAUACGGUCGGGGGAUGACGGUACCGGAAGAAUAAGCACCGGCUAACUACGUG
Molecule: ribosomal RNA, 486 nt
Filed under: uncultured bacterium
Lineage: Bacteria
Description: partial 16S ribosomal RNA
Rfam family: Bacterial small subunit ribosomal RNA
Source: RNAcentral